UGCCAGCCGCCGCGGUAAUACGUAGGGCGCAAGCGUUGUCCGGAAUUAUUGGGCGUAAAGAGCUCGUAGGCGGUUUGUCGCGUCUGCUGUGAAAGCCCGGGGCUCAACCCCGGGUCUGCAGUGGGUACGGGCAGACUAGAGUGCAGUAGGGGAGACUGGAAUUCCUGGUGUAGCGGUGAAAUGCGCAGAUAUCAGGAGGAACACCGAUGGCGAAGGCAGGUCUCUGGGCUGUUACUGACGCUGAGGAGCGAAAGCAUGGGGAUCGAACAGGAUUAGAUA
This 279-nucleotide ribosomal RNA is filed under the name uncultured bacterium. RNAcentral's name for it is "partial 16S ribosomal RNA". It matches the Rfam family "Bacterial small subunit ribosomal RNA", at positions 506 to 784 of the family's 1533-position model. The record is from RNAcentral.